UACGUAGGGGGCUAGCGUUGUCCGGAUUUAUUGGGCGUAAAGAGCGCGUAGGCGGCCGAGUAAGUCCGACGUGAAAUCUGGAGGCUCAACCUCCAGCGGUCGUUGGAAACUACUCGGCUAGAGACCGGAAGAGGAGAGUGGAAUUCCUGGUGUAGCGGUGAAAUGCGCAGAUAUCAGGAAGAACACCGAUGGCGAAAGCAGCUCUCUGGGACGGUACUGACGCUGAGGCGCGAAAGCUAGGGGAGCGAACAGG
This 253-nucleotide ribosomal RNA is filed under the name uncultured bacterium. RNAcentral describes it as "partial 16S ribosomal RNA". It matches the Rfam family "Bacterial small subunit ribosomal RNA", at positions 524 to 776 of the family's 1533-position model. The record is from RNAcentral.